GGGAGUUUAGCUCAGCUGGUUUAGAGCAUCUGCCUUACAAGCAGAGGGUCGGCGGUUCAAAUCCGUCAACUCCCA
RNAcentral lists this transfer RNA (75 nucleotides) under Tidjanibacter sp. RNAcentral describes it as "tRNA-Val". It matches the Rfam family "tRNA". Rfam says of the family: Transfer RNA (tRNA) molecules are approximately 80 nucleotides in length. The record is from RNAcentral. Lineage: Bacteria; Pseudomonadati; Bacteroidota; Bacteroidia; Bacteroidales; Rikenellaceae.